UGACAUCUUGUGACUCUGGCUCUCCCUGAGAGGCACAGUGGGAAGUCCUGCUCUGUGAGUCCAUGGAGUAGGACACACCCAGGCCUCUUCUUUUCGAGCCAGCCAUCAGUCUCCUGAUGGUGGAGAUUUGAUCUGAAGCAUUCAAAUAGGGAACGAGCGCUCAGAGGAAGCUUCAAAUUUCUUUCUACUUGAAGAAGCUGAAUUGCAGACGCUAUCUCUGUCCUGUUAAUCACCGGGUCCACAGUGAAACCAGCCAACUUCAGAGAAGACUCUGGUGCUGUGUGACCCCUGACUGUAACCAAGUGUCAUUCUCUCCGCGACGUUCCCUCAGAGCUUGUGCUGACAGACAGCCCUCACCUCCACGUCCACUAACUUUUCCACACGAGGGGUUCUCUGCUCCAUCUGAGCUGCACAAUUCCACCAGGCCUUU
Molecule: long non-coding RNA, 430 nt
Filed under: Mus pahari (shrew mouse)
Lineage: Eukaryota; Metazoa; Chordata; Mammalia; Rodentia; Muridae
Description: lncRNA (MGP_PahariEiJ_G0005695.1)
Source: RNAcentral